GGAGCUUUGCUGAAACUGCACAAAAAAUGGAGCUGGGGGGUUCCCUGGUCCCCGAUGUUGGGGCGGGGAGCGCGGCGCCGAGGGAGGGGGCGGCGCAGACCAGCCAAGGGGACACCUGGUCGAGCGCAGCCGCCGCUCCGCUCGAGCCCUGCGCUCCAGUGCCCCCAGUGCCCCCACUGGCUGGAGAGCUCGCCCAGACCGGGGGUCUUCCUCCCUCGCUGACAGUUGUUACCUGUUAAGUCAUUAAGAUUCAGAAAGGGUGGAACAAAUGAAAAAAAUAAAUAAAGUUGCAUUUUCACCUCUAUUUGGAAGCAUUAAAAGAUUCUAACUGUUAGAAGAGUACCAAUUCUGGAAAACAACC
Molecule: long non-coding RNA, 361 nt
Filed under: Mus pahari (shrew mouse)
Lineage: Eukaryota; Metazoa; Chordata; Mammalia; Rodentia; Muridae
Description: lncRNA (MGP_PahariEiJ_G0012567.1)
Source: RNAcentral